UACAGAGGGUGCACGCGUUAAUCGGAAUUACUGGGCGUAAAGCGCACGUAGGCGGUUUUUUAAGUCAGAUGUGAAAGCCCCGGGCUCAACCUGGGAAUUGCAUUUGAAACUGGGGAACUAGAGUGUGUGAGAGGGGAGUAGAAUUCCAAGUGUAGCGGUGAAAUGCGUAGAGAUUUGGAGGAAUACCAGUGGCGAAGGCGGCCCCCUGGCACAACACUGACGCUCAGGUGCGAAAGCGUGGGGAGCAAACAGG
RNAcentral lists this ribosomal RNA (253 nucleotides) under uncultured bacterium. RNAcentral's name for it is "partial 16S ribosomal RNA". It matches the Rfam family "Bacterial small subunit ribosomal RNA", at positions 524 to 776 of the family's 1533-position model. The record is from RNAcentral.